UCAGACGAUGCGUCAUGCAUAUCAAUAAGCGGAGGAAAAGAAACUAACAAGGAUUCCCCUAGUAACGGCGAGUGAAGCGGGAAGAGCUCAAAUUUGAAAUCUUAAAGGGUUUCCCUUUACGAAUUGUAGUUUAAAGAAGUGUUUUCUGUUGAGGUUUUGGUAAAAGUUCUUUGGAAUAGGACAUCAUAGAGGGUGAGAAUCCCGUAUUUGACCUUUACUUUCAACUUUGUGAUACACUUUCAAAGAGUCGGAUUGUUUGGGAAUGCAGUCCAAAAUGGGUGGUAAAUUUCAUCUAAAGCUAAAUAUUGGCGAGAGACCGAUAGCGAACAAGUACCGUGAGGGAAAGAUGAAAAGAACUUUGAAAAGAGAGUUAAACAGUACGUGAAAUUGUCAAAAGGGAAGCGUUUGACACCAGUGUUGUUUUUCUGAAAAUCAAUUAAAGAACUGUUUAUGCUAAGUUGUUUAGACUUUAUCAGCUAACUGUUUAGCUUUGAGCUUUUCUUUAAUGCACUUUUCAGUUAACAAGUCAACAUCAAUUUCUUUUGCUGUAAAAAAGCUUGAGGAAGGUGGCUUGAGAUUCGUCUUAAGUGUUUAUAGCCUCUUGCCUAUGCAGUCGGAGAGAUUGAGGUCUGCAGCGUAGAUCCUUCGGGGCUAAAUGCAUUUGUGCUAAGUUAUAGCAUUUCAUAGACAACUUGUUGACUAUGAUUUGUCUUGUAGCUUACUCGCUUAUGUUAUUUUACCUACGCUUAGGAUGUUGAAUCUGUGCGAGACUAC
Molecule: ribosomal RNA, 774 nt
Filed under: uncultured Neocallimastigales
Lineage: Eukaryota; Fungi; Neocallimastigomycota; Neocallimastigomycetes; Neocallimastigales
Description: partial large subunit ribosomal RNA
Rfam family: Eukaryotic large subunit ribosomal RNA
Source: RNAcentral